AGCACUUCUCCUUCCUCACGUCACCAGUUGCAAAGCAGUUGGCCUGCAGGGGCCGAGCUCCACCUGGCCGGUGCCCAUGGUGGCUUCCCUUCUCGCCAAUCCUUGCGCCCCAUGGUGAGUCACUCCGUCCGUUCUUAUCCUCACCAUCCUCCUCCUAUAUAUAAAGCCCCCAACUCUCCCUCCUCCAAUCUCCAUUAACAGAACACCGAGCUCCACUUUUCCCCAAACUUUGCUGGCGAAAUCCGCCGCGGUUAGUGCAUCUCCGGCCGAUUCCUUGCAGCCACGGCGCCUCCUCGACGUCUCGAUUCCGUUUUGCUACUUCCCGGGCUCCCUCCCUCACCGGACGACGCCCUCCACGGGAGCUCCUCCGCCGCCUCCUUCGUGCGUCGUUCCUCCCUGUGCGCCGCCCUCCUCCAAGUGCCUGACUCCCUGCUGGUGUGCUCCCUGGCCCAAGGUUUAAGUCUGGAUGAUGGGCACUUCCAGGGUUGGAUCCAGCAGGGGCUUGGAUCGAGGAAAGUGACAAGAGCACUCAAGCUCUAAUAACCAAUUGGUGGGACGGAAACAUGGAAGCCUGGUGGCAUGUGGUGUAAUGAACCGGCCUUGGAAAUGAAUUAGCAGGGGUGGAUCCUGUUGUUGCCUUUUUAAAAUAUUACUUUCGAUUUGGGGGGCAUGGUUUCUAUAAUGUAGUUUUUUUAUUUCUUUUCUUAUUAUUUGCUGAUAGCUGAUCUACAAGCAGGUUGUUGGGCAUCGAGGCAUGACGACCAGUAAUAUAUGAACGAGGCUAAUUAGUUAUUACAAAUAGUUAAUUAAAAUUAAGGAUACAUUAGUUAUUGUGAAUAAAAAAUUAUUUCUCUUGUUUACUAGUGCCCCGUUAUCACUGCCAACCCAAGCAGCUGAUUCUAAAAACUGACACAGAAGAAACCAUAUCAAAAUCAUGGAAAAUGGAUCAUUGACUGUCUCGGACCAAUAUCUAGCACCCGGCAAUGGAGAGGAAUGGAUCGGAGUCCUUCGCAUAGCUUCCUGCCACUGAGUACAAGACCACAGGGUGAUAAGGCUGUGUUAAAUGAAUGGUAUACAUGCAUAGAAUGGUUCACUUUGAAUGAGAUGAGCCAGCACAGGAAGAUGGUACAAGCUAAGCAAGUACCAUUUUUGUUUAUCUGUAGUGUGAUACAUGCUUCUAUUUGUUUGCUUGUAUGGAAUGGUAUGGGCUCAUACAAGAUCAUGUUUGUUUGGAUAGGGAUGGAUUAGCCUGUUAUUAACCUAACUUGGUGAGCUUUAUCUCAUGUAUUGCUUUAUUGCGUAUCUUUUUAUAAUAAGUCUAUUUCUCCA
Molecule: long non-coding RNA, 1329 nt
Organism: Setaria italica (foxtail millet)
Lineage: Eukaryota; Viridiplantae; Streptophyta; Magnoliopsida; Poales; Poaceae
Exons: 2
Source: RefSeq, a predicted model, not a curated record